Long non-coding RNA from Eriocheir sinensis (Chinese mitten crab), 1485 nucleotides. RefSeq lists it as uncharacterized. The record is from RefSeq and is a predicted model, not a curated record. NCBI's taxonomy places the organism in Eukaryota, Metazoa, Arthropoda, Malacostraca, Decapoda, Varunidae. The transcript is spliced from 3 exons.
UAAGGAAGGGGAGGGAGAUUAGUUCGUGUUGGAAGUUUGGAAAGGGGGGGAAUAGAGGGAGAAAAGAGCUGACUCUUAAAGCACUAUCAUCGUUUCCUUUAUUAUCAGCCAGUGAACCCUGCUUGAAAUGUCACUGUAACAUCUCAAGACAUUCUCCAACUGGGGCUUACACAAUCAUCCACAUUUGGUGUACCCAAGAGUAUACGUACCUCCUUGAUCAGUUCGGGGUCCUCCAGCCUCCCCAGCUUGGCCGCCGCCGCCGCCGCCACCAACGCCAGCAAGAUGAGGACCUGGGGGAGGGAAGGAGGCGAGCGUGAGGCUUAGCAAGGGAGGCAACUCAAGGGCAAAAACAAGGACAACCACCACCACCACCACCACAACAACAACAACAACAACAACAGCAACAACAACAACAAAAGUCCGCUACUAGACGCUGCUCCGAACGAAAGUAGAAAGAACGAGAAGCCAAAAGAGAGGUCAAUUUCGGGAGAAGGGGAGUCUUGAGAGUAGAAAGUUAAGUAUAGCAAAGCAGUUAAUGAAAGACGAAAUAGUAUACAGGAACUAACAACCUUGCCUAAUGGACCUCCCUUUCUUUCGGCAGGACGCAAGCAUGACCCGUGUAAGAAGUGUCUGUCCAUUCAUUGCUAAGAAGACACGAGACGAGGAGGAAAUAUAAAGUGAAGCGAGUGAAGUGUUUCCAGCCAGAUAAAGAAAGAAAAGAAAAACGAGUGAUGUGUUAUUGAUAGAAAACUUAUAUAACGUGAGGGAAUAAGAACAAAUAAAAAAUAGAAAAAUCCCGCCGCAGUAAAGAGUUCCCAGUCAGACAGCGAAAGAGCGUGUGAGUGGAAAAAGAAUGGAAGUGAAAAAGAACAAAUAAAAUAAAAGCAAAGAAAAGAGAAAAACAAAUUAACGAAACAAAAUAAACAAAUAAAAAAAACUGAAGGAAGCAAAACAACAAUUAACAUAUAAGAAAACAAAUAAAUAAAUAAAGAGAAAACAAUAAUUAAGAAAUAAAUAAAGCAAACAAAACAGAAACAAAUAAAAGAAAAGAAAGCGUAACGAGUGUGAAAAAGGACAAAUAAAAUAUAAAAACAACAACUGUCGUAAUAGUGAACCGCUGAACCAUGAAAAAAAGUGAAAAUUUAAAGUUCGAAGUGUAAAAUAACUCAGUCCUCAUCGCCACGCCUUCAAGAGCAAAUUAAAUAGAGGAAAAUUUGGUACCCUAGUGAUGAAAACAAUAACAAUUGAAAAAAGAAAGUGUGCCUGAACUAGAGUGACAAUCAGGGGCUCAUCGCCACGACUCACUGUAAGAAUGAAGAAAAAAGAAACUCAGACCACCUCGUACACUGCUUGGGAACGUGGAGUCUGUAGCCCAAACAUAACAGACACACAUACGGUAAGAGAGAGAGAGAGAGAGAGAGAGAGAGAGAGAGAGAGAGAGAGAGAGAGAGAGAGAGAGAGAGAGAGAGAGAGAGAGAGAGAGAG